CGUAUCAAAAAGCUGCCACACUGUCUGGAUUGGAGGCUGUGAUGAAGACAUCAUGAACAGCGUAGAUCUGGAGAGCAAUGGAGCUCUUUUUUUCUGAUUCUUUCCCUCCCCGACCGACACGUCACGUCAAGUGUGCAUCCCUCCUCCUCCUCUCCUGGCGAAUCAACAAGUAGACCCAGUCGGUGAAGACUUGGGUUCGGUUCCUCCUCCUCAGGAUCGCAGAGUGUUCUCCAUCCAGUAGGAGAGUGGACCGACUGAGAGGAUGAUGCUGCCUGCUGCCUGCUGCACUUCUCUCAGGCUCCCCGGGCAGGAUUUAACCCUCACUGUGCCAGCAUGGACACACUGCCUGGCUUCCACCAGAAGAUGUGGCCCAACCGGGAUGUUCACCUACCAAAGACAGGAGUGUUUCCAGGAGUGCCAAGCAGCGAAGCUUCUGACGUUUCCAUUUGUGAAAUCUGCUUGAACUCCCUCCGCACUGCACUCAGCGCUUCAAGAUUUGUCAGCAAGAAUCCUAAAAGCCAAAAGGCAGCAGGGCCGACGUUACCCUGGGAGCAAACAACACAGAAGAGUUGACCAUUGCCGUCUGUCUGACUCACGCUGCUGUUGCAUAGCGACAGCGCAGGUGCUUGUUUGGCUAAAGCAAACAGGAGCACAAUGUGACACUCACAGUGCUCAGACGACAAAGGCAAAAAAAAAAAGAACUAAAUCUUAAACCUCAUUCACUGAAAAAAAGAACGAGCUCUUCCUUUGUCUCAUUUUGGCAAGUGCAGCAUUUGUUUACAAUAACAUGAUUUGAAACCCAAGGUAGAACACGUGCUUAUUUACAGUCUCUAAAAAAGUAGAAAUCUUGUUUAUGACACAAAUGAUGCAACACUGCAAAUUGUCAUAUUGAAUGCAGUAAUACAGAACAUAGAAAACAUGCAAAAUGCUACUUUUGUUAUAUUGAUGCUCAUAAUUCCGGGGGUUUGUGAAUGCAACCUCGCUUAGAGUAAUUGUCAUUGGUGCAUAAGGAGGAAGUGCUAGCUAGCCAAGCACUGCUAGGUGCUACGAGGGUUGCAGUUGUAAUUUUAAAGGCCUACUGAAAUGACAUUUUCUUAUUUAAACGGGGAUAGCAGGUCCAUUCUAUGUGUCAUACUUGAUAAUUUCGUGAUAUUGCCAUAUUUUUGCUCAAAGGAUUUAGUAGAGAACAUCAACGAUAAAGUUCGCAACUUUUGGUCGCUAAUAAAAAAGACUGGCCUGUACCGGAAGUAGCAGAUGAUGUGAGCGUGACAUCACGGGUUGUAGAGAUCCUCACAUUGUUUACAAUCAUAGCCACCAGCAGCUAGAGCGAUUCGGACCGAGAAAGCGACAAUUUCCCCAUUAAUUUGAGCGAGGAUGAAAGAUUUGUGGAUGAGGAUAGUGAGAGUGAAGGACUAGGAAAAAAAAAAAAGGCAAGGGCAGUGGGAGCGAUUCAGAUGU
This is a long non-coding RNA of Nerophis ophidion (straightnose pipefish), 1458 nucleotides long. RefSeq lists it as uncharacterized. The record is from RefSeq and is a predicted model, not a curated record. The transcript is spliced from 2 exons. NCBI's taxonomy places the organism in Eukaryota, Metazoa, Chordata, Actinopteri, Syngnathiformes, Syngnathidae.